RNAcentral lists this unclassified non-coding RNA (315 nucleotides) under plant metagenome. RNAcentral's name for it is "partial contains 5.8S ribosomal RNA, internal transcribed spacer 2, and large subunit ribosomal RNA". The stretch from base 1 to 107 matches the Rfam family "5.8S ribosomal RNA", at positions 48 to 154 of the family's 154-position model. The record is from RNAcentral.
GCGAAAUGCGAUAAGUAAUGUGAAUUGCAGAAUUCAGUGAAUCAUCGAGUCUUUGAACGCACAUUGCGCCCCCUGGCAUUCCGGGGGGCAUGCCUGUCCGAGCGUCAUUGCUGCCCUUCAAGCCCGGCUUGUGUGUUGGGUCGUCGUCCCCUCCGGGGGACGGGCCCGAAAGGCAGCGGCGGCACCGCGUCCGGUCCUCGAGCGUAUGGGGCUUUGUCACCCGCUCGAUAAGGACCGGCCGGGCGCCAGCCGGCGUCUCCAACCUUUUUUUCUCAGGUUGACCUCGGAUCAGGUAGGGAUACCCGCUGAACUUAA